This 637-nucleotide ribosomal RNA is filed under the name uncultured bacterium. RNAcentral describes it as "bacterial SSU rRNA". It matches the Rfam family "Bacterial small subunit ribosomal RNA", at positions 607 to 1244 of the family's 1533-position model. The record is from RNAcentral.
GCUCAACCGAGGAAGUGCUUCGAAAACUGGUAAACUUGAGUGCAGAAGAGGAAAGUGGAACUCCAUGUGUAGCGGUGGAAUGCGUAGAUAUAUGGAAGAACACCAGUGGCGAAGGCGGCUUUUUGGUCUGUAACUGACGCUGAGAUUCGAAAGCAUGGGUAGCAAACAGGAUUAGAUACCCUGGUAGUCCAUGCCGUAAACGAUGAGUGCUAAGUGUUGGAGGGUUUCCGCCCUUCAGUGCUGCAGCUAACGCAUUAAGCACUCCGCCUGGGGAGUACGAUCGCAAGAUUGAAACUCAAAGGAAUUGACGGGGGCCCGCACAAGCGGUGGAGCAUGUGGUUUAAUUCGAAGCAACGCGAAGAACCUUACCAGGUCUUGACAUACCAUGAAAAGCUAAGAGAUUAGUCUUUCCCUUCGGGGACAUGGAUACAGGUGGUGCAUGGUUGUCGUCAGCUCGUGUCGUGAGAUGUUGGGUUAAGUCCCGCAACGAGCGCAACCCUUAUUAUCGGUUGCCAGCAUUCAGUUGGGCACUCUGGUGAGACUGCCGGUGACAAACCGGAGGAAGGUGGGGACGACGUCAAAUCAUCAUGCCCCUUAUGACCUGGGCUACACACGUGCUACAAUGGUCGGUACAACG